ACGUGGUUAGCUCAGUUGGUAGAGCGUUUCACUGGAAAUGGAGAGUUCCCUGGUUUGAUACCAGGGCCAGGAU
Molecule: non-coding RNA, 73 nt
Organism: Ixodes scapularis (black-legged tick)
Lineage: Eukaryota; Metazoa; Arthropoda; Arachnida; Ixodida; Ixodidae
Source: Rfam